This 525-nucleotide ribosomal RNA is filed under the name uncultured bacterium. Its description in RNAcentral is "bacterial SSU rRNA". It matches the Rfam family "Bacterial small subunit ribosomal RNA", at positions 791 to 1311 of the family's 1533-position model. The record is from RNAcentral.
UAGUCCACGCCGUAAACGAUGAGCACUAGGUUUUGGGGGUAUUGACCCCUUCAGAACCACGGCUAACGCAUUAAGUGCUCCGCCUGGGGAGUACGGUCGCAAGACUAAAACUCAAAGGAAUUGACGGGGCCCGCACAAGCGGUGGAUUAUGUGGUUUAAUUCGAAGCAACGCGAAGAACCUUACCUGGGCUUGAACUCCUGAGAAGACAGAGUAAUGUUUGUUGUGCCCUUCGGGGAACUCAGUGAGAGGUGCUGCAUGGCUGUCGUCAGCUCGUGUUGUGAAAUGUUGGGUUAAGUCCCGCAACGAGCGCAACCCCUAUUUUUAGUUGCCAGCAUUAAGUUGGGCACUCUAGAGAGACUGCCUGGGUUAACCAGGAGGAAGGUGGGGAUGACGUCAAGUCCUCAUGGCCCUUAUGUCCAGGGGCUACACACGUAAUACAAUGGUACAUACAAUGGGGAAGCGAACUCGCGAGGGGAAGCAAAUCUACAAAAAGUGUAUCUCAGUCCGGGAUUGAAGUCUGCAAC